GACGAACGCUGGCGGCGUGCUUAACACAUGCAAGUCGAACGGAAAGGCCCUGCUUUUGUUGGGUGCUCGAGUGGCGAACGGGUGAGUAACACGUGAGUAACCUGCCCUUGACUUUGGGAUAACUUCAGGAAACUGGGGCUAAUACCGGAUAGGAGCUCCUGCUGCAUGGUGUGGGUUGGAAAGUUUCGGCGGUUGGGGAUGGACGCGCGGCUUAUCAGCUUGUUGGUGGAGUAGUGGCUUACCAAGGCUUUGACGGGUAGCCGGCCUGAGAGGGUGACCGGCCACAUUGGGCCUGAGAUACGGACCAGACUGCUACGGGAGGCAGCGGUGGGGAACAUUGCACAAUGGGCGGAAGCCUGAUGCAGCAACGCCGCGUGCGGGAUGACGGCCUUCGGGUUGUAAACCGCUUUCGCCUGUGACGAAGCGUGAGUGACGGUAAUGGGUAAAGAAGCACCGGCUAACUACGUG
This 468-nucleotide ribosomal RNA is filed under the name uncultured bacterium. Its description in RNAcentral is "partial 16S ribosomal RNA". It matches the Rfam family "Bacterial small subunit ribosomal RNA", at positions 28 to 507 of the family's 1533-position model. The record is from RNAcentral.